RNAcentral lists this ribosomal RNA (497 nucleotides) under uncultured bacterium. RNAcentral describes it as "partial 16S ribosomal RNA". It matches the Rfam family "Bacterial small subunit ribosomal RNA", at positions 28 to 507 of the family's 1533-position model. The record is from RNAcentral.
GAUGAACGCUGGCGGCGUGCCUAAUACAUGCAAGUCGAGCGAACGGACGAGAAGCUUGCUUCUUUGAUGUUAGCGGCGGACGGGUGAGUAACACGUGGAUAACCUACCUAUAAGACUGGGAUAACUUCGGGAAACCGGAUCUAAUACCGGAUAAUAUUUUGAACCGCAUGGUUCAAAAGUGAAAGACGGUCUUGCUGUCACUUAUAGAUGGAUCCGCGCUGCAUUAGCUAGUUGGUAAGGUAACGGCUUACCAAGGCAACGAUGCGUAGCCGACCUGAGAGGGUGAUCGGCCACACUGGAACUGAGACACGGUCCAGACUCCUACGGGAGGCAGCAGUAGGGAAUCUUCCGCAAUGGGCGAAAGCCUGACGGAGCAACGCCGCGUGAGUGAUGAAGGUCUUCGGAUCGUAAAACUCUGUUAUUAGGGAAGAACAGAUGUGUAAGUAACUGUGCACGUCUUGACGGUACCUAAUCAGAAAGCCACGGCUAACUACGUG